RNAcentral lists this ribosomal RNA (468 nucleotides) under uncultured bacterium. Its description in RNAcentral is "partial 16S ribosomal RNA". It matches the Rfam family "Bacterial small subunit ribosomal RNA", at positions 28 to 507 of the family's 1533-position model. The record is from RNAcentral.
GACGAACGCUGGCGGCGUGCUUAACGCAUGCAAGUCGAACGGAAAGGCCCUGCUUUUGUGGGGUGCUCGAGUGGCGAACGGGUGAGUAACACGUGAGUAACCUGCCCUUGACUUUGGGAUAACUUCAGGAAACUGGGGCUAAUACCGGAUAGGAGCUCCUGCUGCAUGGUGGGGGUUGGAAAGUUUCGGCGGUUGGGGAUGGACUCGCGGCUUAUCAGCUUGUUGGUGGGGUAGUGGCUUACCAAGGCUUUGACGGGUAGCCGGCCUGAGAGGGUGACCGGCCACAUUGGGACUGAGAUACGGCCCAGACUCCUGCGGGAGGCAGCAGUGGGGAAUAUUGCACAAUGGGCGGAAGCCUGAUGCAGCAACGCCGCGUGCGGGAUGACGGCCUUCGGGUUGUAAACCGCUUUCGCCUGUGACGAAGCGUGAGUGACGGUAAUGGGUAAAGAAGCACCGGCUAACUACGUG